UCAAACAUAUUCUCUUUGGAUCAAUUCAACAUCUUUAUGCAGCACCAAACAUCGAUUAAUUUUAUAUUUUUACUCUAUGGGUGUGUUUAGUUCGAAGUCAGAAUUGGUAUCGGAAUCGAAAUGAGAAUAAGCUGGAAACAGAAUCGGAAUAAUUCAUUAUCUUAUUCUAUUUGAUUCACCAUUUUGAUCGGAAUCGGAAUAAACUAAUUCUAUUAUCAGUAUUUUGUUCAGAUAGAUCUCAGAAGCAUAAUCAAAUUAAUAUGACAAUUUUAUUUUUAUAAUAUAUUAGUUUAAAUUCAAACUGAAAAUUAAAUAUUUAAAAUUUACGUUAAAAUUUAAACAAGAUCAUUUGCCUAGUAAUCGAAAUAACUCAUUUGCCUAAUAAUCGAAAUGGCUCAAAAUCAAUACUUUUAAUGAUCGUGGUGAGCCGUUUGGAAGUUUAACAGUACAGAAAUAUUUAAAUCAUAUAAAAUUUUGAUAGAAAAUUUUUUAUACUAAGUAAAAUAAGAUUAAUAUAUUUGAUCUAAAAUUUUAAUGUCAUAUCAUUAUUUAUUUUCAGCCGUUGAUUUUGAGUUCUUUCAAUCAAUAGGCAAAUGAUAUCAAAAAAUUAUAAAAUUUAUUUUCUAGGUACUUC
Molecule: long non-coding RNA, 634 nt
Filed under: Ananas comosus (pineapple)
Lineage: Eukaryota; Viridiplantae; Streptophyta; Magnoliopsida; Poales; Bromeliaceae
Description: long non-coding RNA (ACOM_LNC004260)
Source: RNAcentral